GACGAACGCUGGCGGCGUGCUUAACACAUGCAAGUCGAACGCUGAAGACCUGGCUUUUGUUGGGUUGGAUGAGUGGCGAACGGGUGAGUAACACGUGAGUAACCUGCCCUCUUCUUUGGGAUAACGCCCGGAAACGGGUGCUAAUACUGGAUAUUCACUGGCCUUCGCAUGGGGGUUGGUGGAAAGGUUUGUUCUGGUGGGGGAUGGGCUCGCGGCCUAUCAGCUUGUUGGUGGGGUGAUGGCCUACCAAGGCUUUGACGGGUAGCCGGCCUGGGAGGGUGACCGGUCACAUUGGGACUGCGAUACGGCCCAGACUCCUCCGGGAGGCAGCAGUGGGGAAUAUUGCACAAUGGGCGAAAGCCUGAUGCAGCGACGCCGCGUGAGGGAUGGAGGCCUUCGGGUUGUAAACCUCUUUCGCUCAUGGUCAAGCCGCAACUGUGGGUUGUGGUGAGGGUAGUGGGUAAAGAAGCGCCGGCUAACUACGUG
This 486-nucleotide ribosomal RNA is filed under the name uncultured bacterium. Its description in RNAcentral is "partial 16S ribosomal RNA". It matches the Rfam family "Bacterial small subunit ribosomal RNA", at positions 28 to 507 of the family's 1533-position model. The record is from RNAcentral.